GGGGAAUAUUGGACAAUGGGGGCAACCCUGAUCCAGCAAUGCCGCGUGUGUGAAGAAGGUCUUCGGAUUGUAAAGCACUUUCGACGGGGACGAUGAUGACGGUACCCGUAGAAGAAGCCCCGGCUAACUUCGUGCCAGCAGCCGCGGUAAUACGAAGGGGGCUAGCGUUGCUCGGAAUGACUGGGCGUAAAGGGCGUGUAGGCGGUUUACACAGUCAGAUGUGAAAUCCCCGGGCUUAACCUGGGAGCUGCAUUUGAUACGUGUAGACUAGAGUGUGAGAGAGGGUUGUGGAAUUCCCAGUGUAGAGGUGAAAUUCGUAGAUAUUGGGAAGAACACCGGUGGCGAAGGCGGCAACCUGGCUCAUGACUGACGCUGAGGCGCGAAAGCGUGGGGAGCAAACAGGAUUAGAUACCCUGGUAGUCCA
This 424-nucleotide ribosomal RNA is filed under the name uncultured bacterium. RNAcentral describes it as "partial 16S ribosomal RNA". It matches the Rfam family "Bacterial small subunit ribosomal RNA", at positions 356 to 797 of the family's 1533-position model. The record is from RNAcentral.